UCGGGAAUUUUGGGCAAUGGGCGAAAGCCUGAUCCAGCCAUGCCGCGUGGAUGAUGAAGGCCUUAGGGUUGUAAAAUCCUUUCGUUGGGGACGAUAAUGACGGUACCCAAAGAAGAAGCUCCGGCUAACUUCGUGCCAGCAGCCGCGGUAAUACGAAGGGGGCUAGCGUUGUUCGGAUUUACUGGGCGUAAAGCGCGUGUAGGCGGACUUGUAAGUUGGGGGUGAAAUCCCGAGGCUCAACCUCGGAACUGCCUCCAAAACUACAAAUCUGGACCUAAGUAGAGGCAAGUGGAAUUGCGAGUGUAGAGGUGAAAUUCGUAGAUAUUCGCAGGAACACCAGUGGCGAAGGCGACUUGCUGGACUUAUGGUGACGCUGAGACGCGAAAGCGUGGGGAGCAAACAGGAUUAGAUACCCCCGUAGUCCCUGAGCGGGCUGGCAAGGCGCAU
RNAcentral lists this ribosomal RNA (447 nucleotides) under uncultured bacterium. RNAcentral's name for it is "bacterial SSU rRNA". It matches the Rfam family "Bacterial small subunit ribosomal RNA", at positions 355 to 825 of the family's 1533-position model. The record is from RNAcentral.